GACGAACGCUGGCGGCGUGCCUAAUACAUGCAAGUAGAACGCUGAAGGAGGAGCUUGCUUCUCCGGAUGAGUUGCGAACGGGUGAGUAACGCGUAGGUAACCUGCCUGGUAGCGGGGGAUAACUAUUGGAAACGAUAGCUAAUACCGCAUAACAGUAGAUGUUGCAUGACAUUUGCUUAAAAGGUGCAAUUGCAUCACUACCAGAUGGACCUGCGUUGUAUUAGCUAGUUGGUGAGGUAACGGCUCACCAAGGCGACGAUACAUAGCCGACCUGAGAGGGUGAUCGGCCACACUGGGACUGAGACACGGCCCAGACUCCUACGGGAGGCAGCAGUAGGGAAUCUUCGGCAAUGGACGGAAGUCUGACCGAGCAACGCGGCGUGAGUGAAGAAGGUUGUCGGAUCGUAAAGCUCUGUUGUAAGAGAAGAACGAGUGUGAGAGUGGAAAGUUCACACUGUGACGGUAUCUUACCAGAAAGGGACGGCUAACUACGUG
This 495-nucleotide ribosomal RNA is filed under the name uncultured bacterium. RNAcentral's name for it is "partial 16S ribosomal RNA". It matches the Rfam family "Bacterial small subunit ribosomal RNA", at positions 28 to 507 of the family's 1533-position model. The record is from RNAcentral.